GGGAGGAAAAGAAACUAACAAGGAUUUUCUUAGUAGCGGCGAGCGAAAAGAAAAUAGUUCAGCACUAAGUCACUUUGUCUUUAUGGCAAAUGUGAGAUGCAGUGUAUGGAAUGUCAAAUUUCUAGUAUGAGAAAUUAACGAUUUAAGUCCUUCUUAAAUGAGACCAUUUACCCAAAGAGGGUGCCAGGCCCGUAUAACGUUAAUGAUUACUAGAUGGCAUUUCCAAAGAGUCGUGUUGCUUGAUAGUGCAGCACUAAGUGGGUGGUAAACUCCAUCUAAAACUAAAUAUAACCAUGAGACCGAUAGUAAACAAGUACCGUGAGGGAAAGUUGAAAAGAACUCUGAAUAGAGAGUUAAAUAGUACGUGAAACUGCUUAGAGGUUAAGCCCGAUGAACCUGAAUAUCCGUUAUGGAAAAUUCAUCUUUAUGAUUUUAAUAUUUAUAAUAUUAUAAUAAUGGUGUGCAUUUUUUCUAUAAAGGACAUUGUAAUCUAUUAACAUAAAUAUAUUUAUCAUAAGAUCAUUUGCUUAAGUUUAUUCAAAUUAUUUUGCUUGCAUUUUAAUAUCGAAUAAAUGCUUUUGAUUUGAUAAAGUGUUGAUAGAUUUAUUAUAUAUAGUGCUUAAAUAUUUAUAUUUUAUAAUAGCAUAUUGAUCAUUGAUCUUUAUGUUUAUUAUAUGCACUUAUAUGAUUAACAAUGCGAAAGAUUCAGGAUACCUUCGGGACCCGUCUUGAAACACGGACCAAGGAGUCUAACAUAUUUGCAAGUUAUUGGGAAUAAAAACCUAAUAGCGUAAUUAACAUAACUUAAUUUAAUGGGAUUAGUUUUUAGCCUAUUUAUAGUCUAUUAAUUCAAUCCCGGGGCGUUCUAUACAGUUAUGUAUAAUAGUAUUUAUAUUAUUUAUACCUCUAACUAGAGCGUACCUUGAGCAUAUAUGCUGUGACCCGAAAGAUGGUGAACUAUACUUGAUCAGGUUGAAGUCAGGGGAAACCCUGAUGGAAGACCGAAACAG
RNAcentral lists this ribosomal RNA (1010 nucleotides) under Calliphora vicina (urban bluebottle blowfly). RNAcentral describes it as "eukaryotic LSU rRNA". It matches the Rfam family "Eukaryotic large subunit ribosomal RNA", at positions 51 to 883 of the family's 3401-position model. The record is from RNAcentral. RNAcentral also lists the same sequence under 1 other name. Lineage: Eukaryota; Metazoa; Arthropoda; Insecta; Diptera; Calliphoridae.